Molecule: ribosomal RNA, 500 nt
Filed under: uncultured bacterium
Lineage: Bacteria
Description: partial 16S ribosomal RNA
Rfam family: Bacterial small subunit ribosomal RNA
Source: RNAcentral
GACGAACGCUGGCGGCGUGCUUAACACAUGCAAGUCGAACGGGGCUGCCCUGUUUUUUGCGGGGUGGGUCAGUGGCGAACGGGUGAGUAACACGUGAGUAACCUGCCCCUCACUUCUGGAUAACCGCUUGAAAGGGUGGCUAAUACGGGGUGUUCUGGCUGUGCCGCAUGGUGUGGCUGGGAAAGAUUCACUUUUGUGGUGUUUUGGUGGGGGAUGGGCUCGCGGCCUAUCAGCUUGUUGGUGGGGUGAUGGCCUGCCAAGGCUUUGACGGGUAGCCGGCCUGAGAGGGUGGGCGGUCACACUGGGACUGAGAUACGGCCCAGACUCCUGCGGGAGGCAGCAGUGGGGGGUAUUGCACAAUGGGCGGAAGCCUGAUGCAGCGACGUCGCGUGCGGGAUGGAGGCCUUCGGGUUGUGAACCUCUUUCGCCGGUGAAGAAGGUCCUGCUCUUUGUGGUGGGGUUGACGGUAGCCGGGUUAUGAAGCGCCGGCUAACUACGUG